UGGGGAAUAUUGCACAAUGGGGGAAACCCUGAUGCAGCGAUGCCGCGUGGAGGAAGAAGGUUUUCGGAUUGUAAACUCCUUUUAUCAGGGACGAUAAUGACGGUACCUGAAGAAAAAGCUCCGGCUAACUACGUGCCAGCAGCCGCGGUAAUACGUAGGGAGCGAGCGUUGUCCGGAAUUACUGGGUGUAAAGGGAGCGUAGGUGGGACGGUAAGUCAGAUGUGAAAUAUACGUGCUCAACAUGUAGACUGCAUUUGAAACUGCUGUUCUUGAGUGAAGUAGAGGUAAGCGGAAUUCCUAGUGUAGCGGUGAAAUGCGUAGAUAUUAGGAGGAACAUCGGUGGCGAAGGCGGCUUACUGGGCUUUUACUGACGCUGAGGCUCGAAAGCGUGGGGAGCAAACAGG
RNAcentral lists this ribosomal RNA (404 nucleotides) under uncultured bacterium. RNAcentral describes it as "bacterial SSU rRNA". It matches the Rfam family "Bacterial small subunit ribosomal RNA", at positions 355 to 776 of the family's 1533-position model. The record is from RNAcentral.